This 205-nucleotide transfer RNA is filed under the name Nanobdellota archaeon. RNAcentral's name for it is "tRNA-Arg". Lineage: Archaea; Nanobdellati; Nanobdellota. The record is from RNAcentral.
GGCCCCUUAGCAUAGUCUGGCAACAACCUUUUGCGAAAAGCUUGGACAAAAGCGUGCGGCAUAAAGCCACACAGGUUGUUGGGCAAAUAGUGCUACCGGCUUCGGACCGGUGGACCUGGGUUCGAAACGACGAUUUCGCUCGUCGGCAACGAGGGACAGCAUAAAGCUGUCCGAAGAAAACGUACCGAAAGUCCCAGAGGGGUCA